This 220-nucleotide ribosomal RNA is filed under the name uncultured Chloroflexota bacterium. RNAcentral describes it as "uncultured Chloroflexi bacterium partial 16S ribosomal RNA". It matches the Rfam family "Bacterial small subunit ribosomal RNA", at positions 1162 to 1382 of the family's 1533-position model. The record is from RNAcentral. Lineage: Bacteria; Bacillati; Chloroflexota.
CGGGGAGGAAGGUGGGGAUGACGUCAAGUCAGCAUGGCCUUUAUGCCUUGGGCAACACACACGCUACAAUGGAUGGUACAAUAGGCAGCAAUAGAGCGAUCUGGAGCGAAUCCUGAAAGCCAUCCUCAGUCCGGAUUGCAGGCUGAGAUUCGCCUGCAUGAAGUCGGAGUUGCUAGUAACUGCAGGUCAGCAUACUGCGGUGAAUACGUUCUCGGGCCUU